CCAAUAGCGUAUAUUAAAGUUGUUGCAGUUAAAAAGCUCGUAGUUGAAUUUCGAGACCGGUUUAUUGGUCGUGCUUUUGUACGUACUGGUAUUAUUGGUUUCUCCUUUCUGACGAAUCUUAAUGCCAUUAAUUUGGUGUUUUGGGGAAUCAGGACUGUUACUUUGAAAAAAUUAGAGUGUUUAAAGCAGGCUCACGCUUGAAUACAUUAGCAUGGAAUAACGAAAUAGGACGUUUGAUUUUAUUUUGUUGGUUUCUAGGAUCGACGUAAUGAUUAAUAGGGAUAGUUGGGGGCAUUAGUAUUCAAUUGUCAGAGGUGAAAUUCUUGGAUUUAUUGAAGACUAACUACUGCGAAAGCAUUUGCCAAGGAUGUUUUCAUUAAUCAAGAACGAAAGUUAGGGGAUCGAAGACGAUCAGAUACCGUCGUAGUCUCAACCAUAAACUAUGCCGACUAGGGAUCGGAUGAUGUUAAUUUUUUAAUGACUCAUUCGGCGCCUUACG
Molecule: ribosomal RNA, 499 nt
Filed under: uncultured Glomeromycotina
Lineage: Eukaryota; Fungi; Glomeromycota
Description: partial small subunit ribosomal RNA
Rfam family: Eukaryotic small subunit ribosomal RNA
Source: RNAcentral